GAUCAUGGCUCAGGAUGAACGCUGGCGGCGUGCCUAACACAUGCAAGUCGAGCGAUUCUCUUCAGAGAAGAGCGGCGGACGGGUGGGUAACGCGUGGGUAACCUGCCCUGUACACACGGAUAACAUACCGAAAGGUAUGCUAAUACGAGAUAACAUAAGAAUUCGCAUGUUUUUCUUAUCAAAGCUCCGGCGGUACAGGAUGGACCCGCGUCUGAUUAGCUAGUUGGUGAGGUAAUGG
This 238-nucleotide ribosomal RNA is filed under the name uncultured bacterium. RNAcentral's name for it is "partial 16S ribosomal RNA". It matches the Rfam family "Bacterial small subunit ribosomal RNA", at positions 15 to 263 of the family's 1533-position model. The record is from RNAcentral.